RNAcentral lists this long non-coding RNA (221 nucleotides) under Oryctolagus cuniculus (rabbit). Its description in RNAcentral is "lncRNA (ENSOCUG00000031696.1)". Lineage: Eukaryota; Metazoa; Chordata; Mammalia; Lagomorpha; Leporidae. The record is from RNAcentral.
CUUGUCGUAAAUUGAUUUCUCAGAUCUAUUUUCCCGCUAGGCAGCCUGACAAUCGGCUCCCGAGAGAAAGCUCCAUUUGAGGGAAGAAGCGGCAGAUUCUUUGAGAAGUGGGAAAACCCAGUAUGGAGUGAAGGAUUUCUCCAAGAGUAGAAGUCAGCCACCCAGACAGCUCUCUCAGGUGAAGGAUGUCCCCGCUGCUGCACUCAGCAAGUUCAUGCUUA